CCCCUGCUCUAGACUCAUUCAAAACCUACCCCAAACCCUGACCAAGGACCCGUCCCAAAACCCGAAACCGGCCUAUUUGAGAUGUUUCCCUCCUUGAGUACAACUCAUUGAAAUGAUCAAGAUUGUCAUCAGGCUUCUGCUGAGCUGAUUGAUGAGCUCGAUUGAAAAAAAUGAAAGAAACAUUUUAGACAGGGCACGUAAAAUAAACAACUGCAGCCACGUGGAUGUCCAAGUGUGCACACCCUCUUUCUUGUGCAUGGGGAUAUGGUUGUAUUCUCCAUUUCAAGUUCCUAUGAUUAACCGCAGAUAAAGUUCAGAUUUUCUAAUCGGCUUUUCCUGUCUUUCUUUUACUGUCUAACAAAAGCCAGAAAGUUUUGUGCUCACAGUGACUGCUGUUUAGAACUGUUCAUAACUGCCUCCACCUUGACUCAGGCCCAACUGAAGAAAAACAACCAAGACAUGAUGCUGCUACUCAAAAAUGCUGCUAAUCAAAGCCAAGACGGGGGAACAACAAAAUCUGCUGCAAACUGACCAUCUCACCACGAGAGGACAGCUAAGAGACUGGAGUGACGUAGGCUGAAGCUUUAAAGAAGCAUUUGAAUCACACGACCUUCCUCCUUGUGCUGACCUCUGCGGGCCUUUGUUGAGGAACAAAGAAUGCUCAGGAAUCUCUGUUCAGGAGAAAUAAAAGACGCAGGGGAGGGAGGGAGUGUCUGUAUGGCAGCUAUGAAGUCGAGCUCGACCGACCUGAUUGGAGAAGCUGGAAUUUCCUGUCCAUCCUGUUCCUCCGAGCAAUUGCCGGUCCCUCCUCUGUAACGUUUUCGCCACUUCUCACAACCGGCAUUAUUGGGCUCGCUGCAUAUGAGACUCACCGAGAUUACUAAACCUCAAAGCCAAUAAGCGUAAGGUCCUGUAUAAUGCAUCAGGACCUGACUUUAGACAAUGCGCCAUUAGUGCUGAUAAAUAACUCAAGAGCUCAGACUUUCUGCUGCAAAGGAAAUAGGGCUCUCAGUUGAACCCCCGUGGGACAUAUUGCUUUUAUAACAACACUUUUUAUGUUGAAAUAUAUGCUACCAUAUGUUUACAGAUACCAAAACAAGAAGGGAUGAAUGCAGCUUCAGUCACGUCUCAGACUGGAAUAAUUGACUUUGGUGUUUUUGAAAGUCCCGCCCACAUUGACUCACAGUAGCCAUCUGCACUUAUUUUGAUAUUGCUGGUAA
Molecule: long non-coding RNA, 1220 nt
Organism: Hippocampus zosterae (dwarf seahorse)
Lineage: Eukaryota; Metazoa; Chordata; Actinopteri; Syngnathiformes; Syngnathidae
Exons: 3
Source: RefSeq, a predicted model, not a curated record